RNAcentral lists this long non-coding RNA (692 nucleotides) under Capsella grandiflora. RNAcentral describes it as "long non-coding RNA (CGRA_LNC001393)". Lineage: Eukaryota; Viridiplantae; Streptophyta; Magnoliopsida; Brassicales; Brassicaceae. The record is from RNAcentral.
CUACACAAAACCCCCCAAAUAUUGAUAGUGAAAUUAGUAAGUCUCCCAAUACAAAAUUUACAAAAUUAAAGAAAUUUUACUACUCAUUCUUUAAUAUUAUUCUUUUCCAUAAAACAGGGUUUAUUCCGAAAAAAUCUAAAGCCGGAAUUUAUACAAGGCUAAAAACUUAUCGGAUUAGGUAUAAAUUUAUUGGUCUGAUACCUUAACUUGUACUAUAUAUUUCUACUUUUGUCAUUCUCCGCCCAAAAGACAUAUUUUCGUGUUAAAACAAAAAUCGCAUUUUCAUGAGAUUGGGCAUAAUAGGAAAUUAUAAGUUGGACCAAACCCAUAACUCUAAAAAAGUAAAUGAGUCAAUUCGAUGGAGCCAAACCUUUUCAGUUUGUAUUAUUUAAAGAUCUAAUGACACAAAACAGAGAAAAGAGUAGCCAUAAGUAAAAAUAACGUACGUUGAGCUGAGUGCUGUAACGACUGAUGAGAUCGUUGGCAUAUUGUUCGGGAGUGAACUGUCUGCUAGAAGAGUAAAAAUUAGGCAUGAAGUAGUUGUUGAGGUAAUCGUUGCUUCCUAAACCAACAGAGUAGAUACAUCUCUUGAGGUAAUCAGCUGCACUAGCCUCGUCUCCUAGCAGCUGUACGACUUGUGAUACCGUGUUCUGGUAGUUCCUAACUUGCCCACUAAAGCUUAUCCUUUGUCC